UACGUAGGGUGCGAGCGUUAAUCGGAAUUACUGGGCGUAAAGCGUGCGUAGGCGGUUUUGUAAGCCAGAUGUGAAAUCCCCGGGCUUAACCUGGGAAUGGCAUUUGGGACUGCAAGGCUUGAGUGCGGCAGAGGAGACUGGAAUUCCUGGUGUAGCAGUGAAAUGCGUAGAUAUCAGGAGGAACACCGAUGGCGAAGGCAGGUCUCUGGGCUGACACUGACGCUCAUGCACGAAAGCGUGGGGAGCAAACAGG
Molecule: ribosomal RNA, 253 nt
Filed under: uncultured bacterium
Lineage: Bacteria
Description: partial 16S ribosomal RNA
Rfam family: Bacterial small subunit ribosomal RNA
Source: RNAcentral